This 454-nucleotide ribosomal RNA is filed under the name Isochaetides gianii. Its description in RNAcentral is "partial 16S ribosomal RNA". It matches the Rfam family "Bacterial large subunit ribosomal RNA", at positions 1857 to 2597 of the family's 2925-position model. The record is from RNAcentral. Lineage: Eukaryota; Metazoa; Annelida; Clitellata; Tubificida; Naididae.
UCCUGCCCAGUGACAAGUUCAACGGCCGCGGUAUCUUGACCGUGCAAAGGUAGCAUAAUCAUUUGCCUAUUAAUUGUAGGCUAGUAUGAAAGGACAAACGAAAAUAAAGCUGUCUCCUUUAAGCAAGUAAAAAUUUAUAUUCAAGUGAAGAAGCUUGAAUCAUUACGCAGGACAAGAAGACCCUAUAGAGCUUUACUUGAGCAUCUACCUGGAAGAAAACUAAAGUUCGGUUGGGGCGACCAAGGAAAAUAUAACAUCCUUUACACACUANACAAACAAGUCUUCAAAAUGAUCCUGAAUCACAGACCAAAGAAAUCAGCUACCUUAGGGAUAACAGGCUAAUUCCUUUUGAGAGUCCUUAUUGACAAAGGAGGUUGGNACCUCNAUGUUGGCUUANGAUCUCCUCAUGAUGUANCANUCAUGACAAGAUGGNNUGNUCAACCACUAAUAUCCU